Long non-coding RNA from Oncorhynchus gorbuscha (pink salmon), 1581 nucleotides. RefSeq lists it as uncharacterized. NCBI's taxonomy places the organism in Eukaryota, Metazoa, Chordata, Actinopteri, Salmoniformes, Salmonidae. The transcript is spliced from 4 exons. The record is from RefSeq and is a predicted model, not a curated record.
UUGAAAAGUUGUCAUUAUUUCCUCUUCGGUCCACUUUUCCUUAUUUUGUAAGCUGCCUGUAUGUUGUCAUUGCAUUGAUCAUACAUUCGGCAACAUUCGUAUUUCUUCUUGGAUCCUUGCAGCCAUUUUCUGUCAGGAUUAAAGGAGAAUAAAUAGGCCCAUGUCAAACCUCUGGCCUCUCUGUACAGCACUGUGUGUCCCCUAUCCAGCCACACUAAGGGAACCUGUCCUCAAGUGUUGGAAUGUUGAACUCAACUCAGUUUGACCAGUAUGGUGUAUAUCAGCACCACUUCAACCCAGCAGCUACAACAUCACUAAACAGUCUGACAACCAAUAUGAACAAAUUGCGAUCCAAAAAAACAAGACCUUGAUGACUAACAAACUAGCAUGAAGUCGAUGAUGACAUACUUGUAAGUUAGAUAGGAAAACACUGCAGCUGCUUGUUGAAGGGAAUGAUGUCACCAUGCAUGUCUGGUACAGUCAGACCCGGGGAGGACGCUAGAUUCUACAAGCCCUUUGAUCCUGUCUCCAUGGCGCCCCCAGAUGUUCUGCUUGUCGGGGCAUUGUGAUGUGGAAGCCUGUUUAUUUACAGAGGUGGCAGUAUGAUACCUGAAUCUGGUCAGUAUUGCAGCUCAACUCCAUGAGUCCUACAGUCUUAGAAGAAGCAGUCUCUUUGAUUUGGUGAUUGCCGAGUUUAUACCACAGCAAAGUACAACCUCACCAUCAGAAUACCUAAAUGGGUAAAAAUGAAGAUCAGAAUAAAAUGUCAAAGAGCGCGUCGAGCUGUCACGCCCCAGCGCCACCAGGGAGGGGCUCUCCUCGCCCACCUGGCCUAGCUCGCCUAGCUGGCCGUUACUCCACAAGGCACCUGGACAGGAGAGGGACCCGCAGGCAGGAGGGCCAGAGGGGGAAGAGUGAAGGAGUGUCAGCUUGACUGUUUCCAGGAGGGGAGGGCCCCGCUAAUCAAAAGUGGCGUUGCUACUCGGAGACACUGAGGAAAGGGGAGGGGAGAGAGAUGACACCUCACAGAUUUAUUACCUCGGAAUCUUCCAGGCCGAGCCGCCCCCCUGCAAGCCGUCAACGAAGCCCCAAACCGCCAGAAAACAGGCAAAAUAAAUAAGACUAACCAACAUUCUAAAACAAACAUGGCAAAUGUUUGGAAUGCCAGCCCGACACACACUGUGCCAAGUGACACCUCUUUAAAUUAAGAUUAACACUAGUUUGCCUUUGUUCUGAAUUUCUGUGUAGAUUAGAGAUGAUUAUUUUGCAUAACAUUUAUUUUCAAAACUAGAAAGUUUGGAAUUUGGGCUUUUAUGUAUGAAUGUUUAUUAAACAUUUUCCUUUUAGGAAAAUAUUACAAGUGACUUGAAUGUGCAUUAUAAAAUAUACCUUGCUCUCAAUCUAGCAUGAAGAACUAGGUCCAACAUAUUCAAAUGAAUCACUAGAAAACUAGAAUUUUAGUAGCUAUAUUAAAAGUAUUUACUGUUAACAAAAAAAUCUGACAAAUUCAUCUGAUUCCAUCCUGUUGUUCUCAAUAUACAUAAGUAUUUUGUUACUCAAAGAUCAAACCACAAUUAUAAA